Trichechus manatus latirostris (Florida manatee) is the source of this 73-nucleotide non-coding RNA. The record is from the annotation of a RefSeq genome assembly. NCBI's taxonomy places the organism in Eukaryota, Metazoa, Chordata, Mammalia, Sirenia, Trichechidae.
GGGCCAGUGGCGCAAUGGAUAACGUACCUGACUACAGAUUAGGAGAUUCCAGGUUCGACUUCUGGCUGGCUCA